GGCAUUGACCGUAACACACGGCUUAAUCAUGGUUGGCCUUAACCCACUCGGUCAACUGGUCCCUCUGGGUGAGGAAUAAACCACAACUCAAAGUGAAAAGUGGAUACCUUCUUCUGUAAAACUAAGGAAUGUUUGUCGUUUUUCCUCUUCAUAACUCUUUGACUCAGAACCAGGAAGCAAAAGAGGCUGGCUUUAGGUGUUCCCAAGAAACCACAAGAAUAUCAAAAUGCACGAAGGACUCUGCAAAUCUCGGACAAACUGAUCUCUGAAUGCUGUGUUGUAUUCCAUGCAAACCCGCAAAACCCCAAGAAACGUCAAUUUGGGAGUUUUGGUUAACAAGCCUCUCCAUCUGAAUGACAUGCUGCUGGUGGGUGGAGUUGGCUUGCUCGUUACCUAAACCUGUAACAUCUGUGCUGGAUCUGCUUGAGUUUAAAAAGACUGUCUCACCGGGUCAUCGCCUUCUUCUCUUGACUUCCCGGCAGCCUCCCACACAGCACUACAAUUUCACUCACUCAUACGUUACACAUGCUACUGGUCUGUGCCCUCUUCACUACUGGUUUGAGUUUUAUUCAUGUUUAUUAAGUUCCUUUGUUUGUAAGUCUGUGUGUGGCCUCCAUUUUUGUUGCUUGAGUCAGUUGUUAUUCAUGUUUUUGUCAUCAUUAGUCAGGAUUUGUUGUAGAGUUUAAUAAAAACACCUGACGCACAGAACAGAAAUAUUUAUCUAGGCAUUUAACUUUUAGUCUUAGCUUUUUCACCUUAAACAGUCAGUUUAUAGUUUAUAAUGUCAUCAACUUGUUUCAAAAACUCACAUGUUGCUUAUAACUGGAAUUACCUCCCUAACCUAAUAUUCACAAAUAUUAAAGGAUCGUUUUGUUUUAUUACAAUCUAGAUCUUAUUUUUAGCUACCUGAUGAAAUAUCUAAUAAUGUAGUUACUCAAUUUGGUCAGCAGAGUACCUUUGUCUUCAAAAAUCAUUUGAAGACCAAGAGUACUUAUGUAAUAUACUCUCUCUGCCCUCCCUGAUCUAUCUAUAGCUCAAAAAAUGUCAUUUGCAAUGCACUUAGGUGUUACUUUGAGCACCUAUAACCUUGUGGCACUUGUGUCAGGCGGAACAUGGAGUGAUGUCACUUUGGGCAAAAGCAUCUGCCAAGUGAAUAAACGUAAAUGUCAUGGCCCGAGG
Thunnus maccoyii (southern bluefin tuna) is the source of this 1179-nucleotide long non-coding RNA. RefSeq lists it as uncharacterized. The transcript is spliced from 3 exons. The record is from RefSeq and is a predicted model, not a curated record. Lineage: Eukaryota; Metazoa; Chordata; Actinopteri; Scombriformes; Scombridae.